ACACCUUUCAAGGGUGAUCUCAGCCCUGGUCUACACUACAGGGUUAGGUCGAAUUUAGCUGCGUUAGGUUGAUUUUAAAAUGAAUGAGUCUACACAACCAAUCCUGUUCCAUUGACCUAAAGGCUCUUAAAAUUGACUUCUGUAUUCCUCCCCGGUGAGGGGAGUAUCGCUAAAAUUGACCUUGCUGGGUUGAAUUUGGGAUACUGCAGAUGCAAUU
Molecule: long non-coding RNA, 217 nt
Organism: Chelonia mydas (Green sea turtle)
Lineage: Eukaryota; Metazoa; Chordata; Testudines; Cheloniidae
Exons: 3
Source: RefSeq, a predicted model, not a curated record